This 72-nucleotide transfer RNA is filed under the name Cavia porcellus (domestic guinea pig). It matches the Rfam family "tRNA". Rfam says of the family: Transfer RNA (tRNA) molecules are approximately 80 nucleotides in length. Their secondary structure includes four short double-helical elements and three loops (D, anti-codon, and T loops). Further hydrogen bonds mediate the characteristic L-shaped molecular structure. tRNAs have two regions of fundamental functional importance: the anti-codon, which is responsible for specific mRNA codon recognition, and the 3' end, to which the tRNAs corresponding amino acid is attached (by aminoacyl-tRNA synthetases). tRNAs cope with the degeneracy of the genetic code in two manners: having more than one tRNA (with a specific anti-codon) for a particular amino acid; and 'wobble' base-pairing, i.e. permitting non-standard base-pairing at the 3rd anti-codon position. Lineage: Eukaryota; Metazoa; Chordata; Mammalia; Rodentia; Caviidae. The record is from Rfam by way of RNAcentral.
AGGAGUAUAGCUCAGUGGUAGAACACCUGCCUUGUAUGCAUGAGGUCCUGAGUUUGAUACCCAGCACUCCCU